CACGUAGUUAGCCGUCCCUUUCUGGGUAGUUACCGUCACUUGAUGAGCCUUCCACUCUCACCAACGUUCUUCUCUACCAACAGAGUUUUACGAUCCGAAAACCUUCUUCACUCACGCGGCGUUGCUCGGUCAGACUUUCGUCCAUUGCCGAAGAUUCCCUACUGCUGCCUCCCGUAGGAGUUUGGGCCGUGUCUCAGUCCCAAUGUGGCCGAUCACCCUCUCAGGUCGGCUAUGUAUCAUCGCCUUGGUGAGCCUUUACCUCACCAACUAGCUAAUACAACGCGGGAUCAUCUUUGAGUGAUGCAAUUGCAUCUUUACAAAACUUUAAAACUUGUUAGUUUUAAAGUUUUUAUGGUCGGUUAUUAAGCUAAUUUCGUUUACCAAAUUGUUUCGUCCCCCGUCUCGAAAGGCAGACUUCCCCCACGUCGUUACUCACCCGUUCGCUCGCUCAUCCAGUUGGUACAAGUACCAACCUUCAGCGCUCAACUUGCUAU
This 494-nucleotide ribosomal RNA is filed under the name uncultured Lactococcus sp. Its description in RNAcentral is "partial 16S ribosomal RNA". The record is from RNAcentral. Lineage: Bacteria; Bacillati; Bacillota; Bacilli; Lactobacillales; Streptococcaceae.